Molecule: long non-coding RNA, 1876 nt
Filed under: Anas platyrhynchos platyrhynchos (common mallard)
Lineage: Eukaryota; Metazoa; Chordata; Aves; Anseriformes; Anatidae
Description: lncRNA (ENSAPLG00000019844.1)
Source: RNAcentral
CCCGGGGUGGGGGUGGGGGUGGGGGAGGGGAAAUUAAAAAAAAUUAAUAAUAAUUAAAGUGGGGGAGGGGGGAGGGGAGGAGAGCUGCCCGGUGGUAAGGGGGGGGAGGGCAAAAAGGGGAGGGGGGGGCAGCUCCUGGAACCAACCCCCCCCCCCCCAGGGGGGGGGGGGGGGGGCCCGGGGGGGGGGGGGGGAGGCCGGAAAGGUUGGGUGCCCCCUGAGGGGGGAGCGGGGCGAGGAGGUGGCCCCCGGAGGGGACCUGCCGGGGAGGAACAAAAAACAAAAAAAAAGAAAAAAGAAAAAAAAAAUCAAACAACAACAACAAAAAAAAACAGCAUUUGCUUGCUGGAGGGUGCCAGAUGGGUUGGAUUCGCGACAGGACUUAAGAUGGAGGUGGUUGGUGGGGCCGGUGCCAAAGCCGAGGACUUCUGCCCGGCUUUGGGGAUGCGCGGAGGUUCCGUGUGCUCCUCGCCGCGGCGUCGCGCUCGCCUCGGGAACUCAAUUACUUUCUUUUUCUGGCAGCGUUUCAUCUCUGUACGACUUCUUUUUUUGGGGGGGGGGGGGGGAUUUAGUUUGUACGCGAGACGAGCUCGAUUCAAAAUAAAGUUAUAUCCUGUCUGUGGUCUACCACCUUCUCCUCACCCCCAGCGAUCUGCCAUGUUUCACAGAACCUCUAUAGGUGGCUUUUUGAAAAAAAAACCUAAUCCGUUAUUAAUUUUCUAUCCCUUUCGCCACUUUUUUUUCUGUCUUUGUGAUAAGCGUGGUGAAAAGCUAGAGAGAGAAGAAGGAGCGUGCAUAGGAGCUGUGUGCGCUGGCAGUUGCUGUAGAGUUCAGCUGUUUGGACCAGAGAGAGAGAUUGCCUGCUUGUGGCCCUAAUAUCUUCAGCUUGAAUUUAAGGAGCCUGCUGAACCUGGAGAAACUGGCUCGUGUGUUGUCGCAGUUUCCCAAAGGCAGGUAGGGAAUUAAAAACAGUGGUGACUUUACUCAGCGGGUCACAGCCGCAUCUCUGUGAGCACUCCCGAGGGAACAGGAGACAACCCUCACGCGUUUCCCUGUAGGAGCCCAGCACUGUGGGAGGAGGAUUCGAAUCUUUUGUAAUGCCGAGACCCAUACAAACUGGGUUAAAAUCAUACAAAUUGAAUUAAAAAUGCCCACGUUUCAAAACUCCCGGCCUGCUCGCAUCCCCUGGCAUGCUCAUGGCCCCUUGAGGAACUGAGCAGUGUCCGUGGGCUACCACUGUAGUGUGAAAUAUCUCUGUGGCUCUCCUGCUUAGAGAAAAAGCACUUUGAGAAGAUGUAUGAAAAAUAUUUCCCUGGUCCAGCUUGUCAGUCGUGUCCUCCAUUCCUCGCACGACGCCAGGCUUCAAUCUCAUCUGCGUUUCUGGGCUGACUCAGAGCACCCAAUUUCACAACUUUGGUCUGCAACCAAAAAUAUCAGUGGACGUUGCAGCCAAAGAACAAUGAGGGAAGACACCCUAAAGAAUACCCCUUUGCUGACUAACUCCUUUUCUGCAGAGCAAGGUGGUGUGCGUGUUUUUGGAAACCUGACCAGUGCUGUUUCUUGCCCAGGUUUGAGAACUGAAGGCAUUUGUACCGUGUGCGCACAGGUAGGCUGGCUGUUGAGCAUCUGAGUCUUCAGAUGCCAGGGGUCACAGCAUAAAGAAUGUUGUAUUUUUACCUAAGCAACAUAAAUCACACCAACCAAGGCUGUUGACCCAUCUUAAGCCCAGGAGAGCGUACUCCUCUAGGAGUACUCUUCAGCAGGGUUAGAAGAGAGAGCUCCAAAGCUGGCAUUCAGAGAAAGACAAGAGUUCCCAUUGCAGGACAGAAUCCUCCCUGCCUGUUCACUUGAGUCGUUACUUUUAAUCAAAUAGGUC